UUCGGUUCAUUCCACGGGUUUUUUCAGACAAGACUUUCACAAGAGUAGGAGGUUCACUUCUGGAGACACGACGCAGUCACCGUGCUCUGCGUGACAGUCUGGCACUCUCCAGACAUCACUCACUCCACCCAGGAGUCAGACGUGAAGUGGGGAGAGAGAGAUUGUGUGGGCAGAGGUCUCAUACCUCAUGGGUGGUGUCAGAGGUGGCGCACGGUUAGUCCUCCAAGUCCUUCCGCCGUUACCGUGGGAGGCUGCCAGUCAUCCUUGUGUUGUAAUAUUCUCCCCUUCAAACUGUCACUCCUGCAAGUGUGCUGACAGAUGCCAAAUAAAGACUGUGUUGUGGUUUCAGAUAUUUUCCCCAACAGCAACAGAUAGUGGAGUUGCGCACGCAGAAGCUACUUUGAUCAAUAUUUCCUGCAUAUUUAACUCCUCCUGCCUACCAGUGUGUGGAAGACCAUUGCUCAGUCGGGCACUAAGAGGCCCUUUCUAACCGGCGUUCUACUCCCGAGGGGUGUGUCCUGUGGUGUUGCCGAGAGAGGGGAAAAACAUAAGAGCAUAGAAUAGAAGACAGGGAGGAAUGUGUGUCUCCAGCCCUCCAGUGACAGCCGUCCUGCAGCUGACCUUCAACAGCAGAUGAAUGCGCAGAUAGACAGGGCGCCCUGCAGACAGCAGCCCGUAGCACAGCGGCGGAGGAUAGAGGAUGGCCUGCACCUCUACCCGACGCUUGUCUCCAUUGGCGUGUGUCUGCAGAGUCUGCAAAACACCAACCCUCUACGAGGGGAUGCCAAAGGACAUUUCGUAGAAGUUUCACUCUGUUGCAAUGGGGAAACCACCAAAGUUCUUUACUUCGGUUAAACUGCUGAUCAACAACUGGUGGAGUGGAAGUGAAAGCAAUCCAAACUUCUGCUCAAGUGAAAUUAUGAAGGAGCUUUAUCUUCAACUGAACUGAGUACUAAAAGUCAAAGCAUCCGUGGUCUUUGUGCCUUGCAGUUCAAUAAUUUAGCAACUAUUCUUUGAUUCAUGGCUCACACUGACUACACAUUUAUGUAAGUCAAGCUGCUGAGUUGAUCUAAUCUUUUUGCAAAAAAAAUGUAAAAACAUACUUUUGAAUUGUCACAACAAAAUUAAAGUCAGUAUGUAUACUUGUGUACUUGUAUACUUUUACUCUGAUUG
This is a long non-coding RNA of Electrophorus electricus (electric eel), 1173 nucleotides long. RefSeq lists it as uncharacterized. The record is from RefSeq and is a predicted model, not a curated record. Lineage: Eukaryota; Metazoa; Chordata; Actinopteri; Gymnotiformes; Gymnotidae.